UACGGAGGGAGCUAGCGUUGUUCGGAAUUACUGGGCGUAAAGCGCACGUAGGCGGCGAUUUAAGUCAGAGGUGAAAGCCCGGGGCUCAACCCCGGAACUGCCUUUGAGACUGGAUUGCUAGAAUCUUGGAGAGGCGAGUGGAAUUCCGAGUGUAGAGGUGAAAUUCGUAGAUAUUCGGAAGAACACCAGUGGCGAAGGCGGCUCGCUGGACAAGUAUUGACGCUGAGGUGCGAAAGCGUGGGGAGCAAACAGGAUUAGAAACCCUGGUAGU
Molecule: ribosomal RNA, 271 nt
Filed under: uncultured bacterium
Lineage: Bacteria
Description: partial 16S ribosomal RNA
Rfam family: Bacterial small subunit ribosomal RNA
Source: RNAcentral